RNAcentral lists this ribosomal RNA (253 nucleotides) under uncultured bacterium. Its description in RNAcentral is "partial 16S ribosomal RNA". It matches the Rfam family "Bacterial small subunit ribosomal RNA", at positions 524 to 776 of the family's 1533-position model. The record is from RNAcentral.
UACGAAGGGGGCUAGCGUUGCUCGGAAUCACCGGGCGUAAAGGGCGCGUAGGCGGCGCGGUAAGCGUGCGGUGAAAGUCCGGGGCUCAACCCCGGAUCGGCCGUGCGGACUGCCGGGCUUGAGCACUGUAGGGGCGGGUGGAACUCCGGGUGUAGCGGUGGAAUGCGUAGAGAUCCGGAAGAACACCGGUGGCGAAGGCGGCCCGCUGGGCAGUGACUGACGCUGAGGCGCGACAGCGUGGGGAGCAAACAGG